CAAAAUGGCGAAUUAUCAUAAGACACUCGUUAAAUCAUAUCUCUUGUGAUUCGUCCUGGUUCAGCCCCGACACUGGCCAUCGCUCUUCGGAAUCAUGGUUUUCAGGGUCUCACCUCUGCAUGUUGACAUUGUUAUUGAUUUGAACGUGAAAGCUGCCUCAUCAAACGUUCUCACAGUUCUGCGUUUUACUCCCCUUAACUAUACAACAGAUGCACGUGAAGACAUAGACUGGCUUUUAUUUUGUAUUGGUUAACUCCAAGGAACAAGCGGAACGAAAACAUCGUCAUGUUGACAUUUUAGGGAAGGAGAAGGUGUUGACGUCGAGGAGCUGCCGGAGGAAGAGUCACAGUCAGCUUCUAAAAAUUAUGAUCUGUCUGAGUCAGUGCAUCUGCUUUAUUUAUCAGUCUUCAGGGGAACAAGCCCCUAAAACUCAGUGCUACUGUUCUGGCUCAGUAAAACACAUGCACCCAUCAUAUCUGUUGACAUGGUUCAAAGAAAAGGUCAAGAAAACUUGUGAAUUGUGCCAUAAAAGUGAUAUCAAGAAAAAGGGCAAACCAUAUAUGCUGAGAUUUUCACAUUUCCAGACUACCAAGUUAAGAUACAUGCAACUAAGCUAAAGAAUUAUUGGCAUAUUUCCAGAAUUCCACAUUUCCAGACUACUGAGAUAAAUGUGAUGAAUUUGAUGUGCAGCACAUUCCAUUGUGAUGACGUGUUCUGUGCUCUUCUACCCCAAGUUAAAGCGCAAUUUGUUUAUAUUGAGACAAAGAACUCCUAACAAUAAUUGCAGAUGUGCACAUCUUAACCCUUUACUUCUUGGAAGUGAUUAACAUGUAGCUUCUCCUUGUUGUAUUCAUAAGGUAAUGAGAAUACCUUCAAGUUUUUAUCUUGAUCUAACUUCAAAUUCUCAAAACUAAUUUACAAUGAAAUGUAUAGCAGCUGAAGGGGAGAAGUAGCAAUCAGUCCUUGGGAGUUAAUGGGUUAUAAGCCUCAGAGAACAGAAAGCAUUAUGGUUAUAGUUGUUACGAAUACUUAAGAUUAAAAUUGUUAGUAGGUGACAGAUUCACAUGUUCAUGUAAAUAGGGUAUUGAAUAUUUGUUAACUUGUGAAAGAAACUUGAUUAAAAAUAGGGUCAAGCAA
Molecule: non-coding RNA, 1137 nt
Organism: Pocillopora verrucosa
Lineage: Eukaryota; Metazoa; Cnidaria; Anthozoa; Scleractinia; Pocilloporidae
Source: RefSeq, a predicted model, not a curated record